This is a long non-coding RNA of Folsomia candida, 855 nucleotides long. RefSeq lists it as uncharacterized. Lineage: Eukaryota; Metazoa; Arthropoda; Collembola; Entomobryomorpha; Isotomidae. The transcript has 3 exons. The record is from RefSeq and is a predicted model, not a curated record.
UUUAUGUGGGAAUGCUAAACUCUCCUCCACUCAACACGGUUAUCAUUUCACACGUGCUUUUCAUCAUCUUCAUCAAUUAAUUCACACACAACAGUUUUAAAUAGUUAAAAUAGCUACUUUUAAAUAGUACUUAACAUGGAAUGCAAUGGCGUCAACAUGGCGCCGGAAAUUAUGAAGCGAGAAGAUUCCAGUGAUACCAACUUCAACGUAUACGUCGGAUCUGAAACAGGAUUUCUCAAAGGGAUUUGUUUCGGGUUGGAAACGCCCAUGAUGAAAGAACUCUCAGAUUAUGAUAAAUCAAAAAACCCGUUCCCAUCAAGACCUUGUCCUGGACAGAUCCCAACAACCGGAAAGACCUCCUUGUCGGCCUAAUUGAUCGCCCGUCAAAGUUUACAAUACAAAGUUGAGAGCAUUCACACAAGAGAAGAGGGUGCAACUCAGCGAUGAGGGUGAAAGCCAGUUGGUCUCGUUAUCUCAACUAGACGAUAAAUAUUUGGUGGGGCUUGAAAAUGGGAAAAUAUCUUACUGGAAUCCUGCAGACAGCAAAUCUACGAUUGAAUUGAAAGCUGGAAAUCAUUUAUCAUGUGUUAAAUCAUGUCCUCAAGACUCCUCACUCUUUGUAACGGGUGGCAAAGAAAAUGACGUAAAAAUAUGGAAACUGGACUCGGGAACGACCGAACCUAUUUGGAAAGCAAGAAAUGUGCCUCACGUUUUGGAGCUUCGUGUUCCAGUUUGGGUGCAGGACGCAGCAUUCCUCCACAAACGACAGACCUUGUCGCCAUCGCUUCCCGCUACGGACAACUGAGAUUGUACGACACCAAAAUGGACAAUAGAAAUCGACCCGUGAUUAACAUG